RNAcentral lists this ribosomal RNA (375 nucleotides) under uncultured bacterium. Its description in RNAcentral is "bacterial SSU rRNA". It matches the Rfam family "Bacterial small subunit ribosomal RNA", at positions 521 to 896 of the family's 1533-position model. The record is from RNAcentral.
UAAGACGAACCGUGCGAACGUUGUUCGGAAUCACUGGGCUUAAAGGGCGCGUAGGCGGGUCUGCAGGUCCGGGGUGAAAGCCCCCAGCUCAACUGGGGAAGAGCCUUGGAUACCGCGGGUCUAGAGGAAGGUAGGGGCACGUGGAACUUCGGGUGGAGCGGUGAAAUGCGUUGAUAUCCGAAGGAACGCCGGUGGCGAAAGCGACGUGCUGGACCUUUUCUGACGCUGAGGCGCGAAAGCCAGGGGAGCGAACGGGAUUAGAUACCCCGGUAGUCCUGGCCCUAAACGAUGGGAACUAGGCAGCGGACUAACAUGGGUUCGCUGCCGAAGCAAAAGUGGUAAGUUCCCCGCCUGGGGAGUAUGGUCGCAAGGCUG